UACGUAGGGGGCAAGCGUUGUCCGGAAUCAUUGGGCGUAAAGCGCGUGUAGGCGGCCAGAAAAGUCCGCUGUGAAAACUCGAGGCUCAACUUCGAGCUGUCGGUGGAAACUUUCUGGCUAGAGUCCGGAAGAGGAGAAUGGAAUUCCUGGUGUAGCGGUGAAAUGCGCAGAUAUCAGGAAGAACACCCGUGGCGAAGGCGGUUCUCUGGGACGGUACUGACGCUGAGACGUGAAAGCGUGGGGAGCAAACAGG
Molecule: ribosomal RNA, 253 nt
Filed under: uncultured bacterium
Lineage: Bacteria
Description: partial 16S ribosomal RNA
Rfam family: Bacterial small subunit ribosomal RNA
Source: RNAcentral